RNAcentral lists this long non-coding RNA (600 nucleotides) under Homo sapiens (human). Its description in RNAcentral is "HSALNT0353448". Lineage: Eukaryota; Metazoa; Chordata; Mammalia; Primates; Hominidae. The record is from RNAcentral.
UUCAGUUCAUCCUUGGUGAAUGCUAGUCAAAAUUCUAUGUGAUGUCACAACAGAAAUCUUCAGUUAACAGUCGUGGAAAGGACUCAAGCUCUACUCCAUCUCCACCUCCUUGGGUUUGGGUAAAUUCUCAGCAGGAUUGUGCAUUAGAUGGAAAGACCGCCUCUGCAGGCCGCUGGCUGACUUCAAGAUAGUCGUGCUGUAUCAAGUGGUGUGAGAAGGAAAGACCCAUAAGAGACUUUGUCAUCCAAGUUUCAGAUUCCCCUGGAUUCCUUAGCGAUAAGACAUGCAUGGCUCAUUACAUAUUCUAUUUAUGAAAUUUCUACGGGCAAAGACUCGAAUGCCCUUUAACUGGGUGCGCACAUGGGCAUCGCAUAGUUUUCCAGAGUAACCCAAGAUACUGGGGUGGAGAGAAAAAUGGAACCAGAAGACAAGCCAGCUUCUACCAAAGCCACCCAGCAGUCAGCCAGCCCAGACUCUCAAAUCUGGACCUGGGGGUCAGCCCUAGGUAGACAGGCAAGCCAUCUUUCAAAGGCUCCCAUGUCCUCUUAAUAAAGUGAGAGCCAGACAUUAGCAAUCAUUCUCACAAUUUUUAAAAACCAU